This 440-nucleotide ribosomal RNA is filed under the name uncultured bacterium. RNAcentral describes it as "partial 16S ribosomal RNA". It matches the Rfam family "Bacterial small subunit ribosomal RNA", at positions 338 to 795 of the family's 1533-position model. The record is from RNAcentral.
CCUACGGGAGGCAGCAGUGGGGAAUAUUGCACAAUGGGGGAAACCCUGAUGCAGCGACGUCGCGUGAGGGAAGAAGGACUUCGGUGUGGUAAGCUCCAUUAGUAGGGAAGAAAAGGACGGUACGUGAGGAAGAACCCCGGGCUAAAGACGUGCCAGCAGCCGCGGUAAUACGGAGGGGGCAAGCGUUAUCCGGAUUUACUGGGUGUAAAGGGAGCGUAGAUGGGAGUGCAAGUCUGGAGGGAAAGGCGCGGGCUCAACCCCCGGACUGCUCUGGAAACUGUACGGCUGGAGUGCAGGAGAGGUAAGUGGAAUUCGUAGUGUAGCGGUGAAAUGCGUAGAUAUUACGAAGAACACCGGUGGCGAAGGCAGCUUACUGGAGUGUAACUGACGUUGAGGCUCGAAAGCGUGGGUAGCGAACAGGAUUAGAUACCCGGGUAGUC